CCAGACUCCUACGGGAGGCAGCAGUGGGGGAUAUUGCACAAUGGGGGAAACCCUGAUGCAGCGACGCCGCGUGAGUGAAGAAGUAUUUCGGUAUGUAAAGCUCUAUCAGCAGGGAAGAAAAUGACAGUACCUGACCAAGAAGCCCCGGCUAACUACGUGCCAGCAGCCGCGGUAAUACGUAGGGGGCAAGCGUUAUCCGGAUUUACUGGGUGUAAAGGGAGCGUAGACGGUUACGCAAGUCUGGAGUGAAAGGCGGGGGCCCAACCCCCGGACUGCUUUGGUAACUGUAUAACUGGAGUGCAGGAGAGGUAAGUGGAAUUCCCAGUGUAGCGGUGAAAUGCGUAGAUAUUAGGAGGAACACCAGUGGCGAAGGCGGCUUACUGGACUGUAACUGACGUUGAGGCUCGAAAGCGUGGGGAGCAAACAGGAUUAGAUACCCCGGUACGC
RNAcentral lists this ribosomal RNA (447 nucleotides) under uncultured bacterium. RNAcentral's name for it is "bacterial SSU rRNA". It matches the Rfam family "Bacterial small subunit ribosomal RNA", at positions 331 to 794 of the family's 1533-position model. The record is from RNAcentral.